Molecule: ribosomal RNA, 775 nt
Filed under: Orpinomyces intercalaris
Lineage: Eukaryota; Fungi; Neocallimastigomycota; Neocallimastigomycetes; Neocallimastigales; Neocallimastigaceae
Description: LSU rRNA
Rfam family: Eukaryotic large subunit ribosomal RNA
Source: RNAcentral
AAUAGCUGAGGAAAAGAAACUAACAAGGAUUCCCUUAGUAACGGCGAGUGAAGCGGGAAGAGCUCAAAUUUGAAAUCUUCAAGGUUCUACCUUGACGAAUUGUAGUUUAUAGAAGUGUUUUCUGUUAGUAGAGUGGCAAAAGUUCUUUGGAAUAGGACAUCAUAGAGGGUGAGAAUCCCGUAUUUGGUCAUUCUUUCUAGCUUUGUGAUACACUUUCAACGAGUCGGAUUGUUUGGGAAUGCAGUCCAAAAUGGGUGGUAAAUUUCAUCUAAAGCUAAAUAUUGGCGAGAGACCGAUAGCGAACAAGUACCGUGAGGGAAAGAUGAAAAGAACUUUGAAAAGAGAGUUAAACAGUACGUGAAAUUGUCAAAAGGGAAGCGUUUGACACCAGUGUUGUUUUUCCGAAAAUCAAUUACGAAUGUUUUGUUUUUAAGAAGUUAUGACUUCAUCGGCUUGCUUCUUUCUUUAUGAAACUUUCUUAAUGCACUUUUCGGUUAACAAGUCAACAUCAAUUUCUUUUGUUGUAAAAGGGUAUGAGGAAGGUGGCUUUCUUUUCGGAGAAAGUGUUUAUAGCCUUGUACCUCUGCAAUCGGAGAGAUUGAGGUCUGCAGCGUAGAUCCUUCGGGGUUAGAUACAUUUGUGCUAAGUUAUAGCUUUUCAUAGACAACUUGUUGACUAUGUUUAGUCUUGUAGCUUACUCGCUUAUGCUAUUUUACCUACGCUUAGGAUGUUGACAAAAUGGUUUUAAACGACCCGUCUUGAANCCCGGNACACA